UACAGGGGGUGCAAACGUUGCUCGGAAUCAUUGGGCGUAAAGCGCACGUAGGCGGUUCGUUAUGUCGGAUGUGAAAGCCCUUGGCUUAACCGAGGAAGUGCAUCCGAAACUGGCGAGCUAGAGUACUAAAGAGGAUCGCGGAAUUCCCGGUGUAGAGGUGAAAUUCGUAGAUAUCGGGAGGAACACCGGUGGCGAAGGCGGGUCUCUGGGCCGUAACUGACGCUGAGGAGCGAAAGCAUGGGGAGCGAACAGG
RNAcentral lists this ribosomal RNA (253 nucleotides) under uncultured bacterium. RNAcentral's name for it is "partial 16S ribosomal RNA". It matches the Rfam family "Bacterial small subunit ribosomal RNA", at positions 524 to 776 of the family's 1533-position model. The record is from RNAcentral.